GAUGAACGCUGGCGGCGUGCCUAAUACAUGCAAGUCGAGCGAACAGACGAGGAGCUUGCUCCUCUGACGUUAGCGGCGGACGGGUGAGUAACACGUGGAUAACCUACCUAUAAGACUGGGAUAACUUCGGGAAACCGGAGCUAAUACCGGAUAAUAUAUUGAACCGCAUGGUUCAAUAGUGAAAGACGGUUUUGCUGUCACUUAUAGAUGGAUCCGCGCCGCAUUAGCUAGUUGGUAAGGUAACGGCUUACCAAGGCAACGAUGCGUAGCCGACCUGAGAGGGGGAUCGGCCACACUGGAACAGAGACACGGUCCAGACUCCUACGGGAGGCAGCAGUAGGGAAUCAUCCGAGAUGGGCGAAAGCCUUACGGGGCAACGCCGCGUGAGUGAUGAAGGUCUUCGGAUCGUAAAACUCUGUUAUUAGGGAAGAACAAAUGUGUAAGUAACUAUGCACGUCGUGACGGUACCUAAUCAGAAAGCCACGGCUAACUACG
This 495-nucleotide ribosomal RNA is filed under the name uncultured bacterium. RNAcentral's name for it is "partial 16S ribosomal RNA". It matches the Rfam family "Bacterial small subunit ribosomal RNA", at positions 28 to 505 of the family's 1533-position model. The record is from RNAcentral.